AGCUUUCUCAAUCCGUGCAGAGAUUUUGCCAGACACCAACCCAUUAGGACCGAUAAGACUUCCAAGAUAAUAUAAGUG
Non-coding RNA from Schistosoma haematobium, 78 nucleotides. Lineage: Eukaryota; Metazoa; Platyhelminthes; Trematoda; Strigeidida; Schistosomatidae. The record is from Rfam.